RNAcentral lists this transfer RNA (73 nucleotides) under Tannerella sp. Its description in RNAcentral is "tRNA-Gly". It matches the Rfam family "tRNA". Rfam says of the family: Transfer RNA (tRNA) molecules are approximately 80 nucleotides in length. The record is from RNAcentral. Lineage: Bacteria; Pseudomonadati; Bacteroidota; Bacteroidia; Bacteroidales; Tannerellaceae.
GCGGUAGUAGCUCAGUCGGUAGAGCACUAGCUUCCCAAGCUGGGGGUCGCGGGUUCGAGUCCCGUCUACCGCU